Paramisgurnus dabryanus is the source of this 1960-nucleotide non-coding RNA. NCBI's taxonomy places the organism in Eukaryota, Metazoa, Chordata, Actinopteri, Cypriniformes, Cobitidae. The record is from RefSeq and is a predicted model, not a curated record.
AAUUUUCGUUGUUUUCACAGUUUUUUACUGUUUUUCUCGACAGUUUCUUACUGUAUAAGUUGUUUACAGUUUGUUACUGUAGAUUUGUUGUUUCCACAGUAUUUUAAUGUAUUUUCAACAGUUUUUUACUGCAUAAGCUUUGUACAGUAGGCUACUGUAGUUUUCCAAUGCAUUAUGGGAAAUAUUACUCUGAAUACAGUAUUACCAACCAACUGCAAAACACAAUUACAAACGUCUAUUUAUAUCUUAAAUGCUUAAUUUUUUGUGAGAUAUUUGGUUUAAUGUCUGUUUUCACAUCAGAUGCUCGGUGUGUUCCUUUAACAUAAAUCACGUGCCUUUUCUGAGGCUUUAAUGAAAUCACCAGCCAAUUCAAUAGACAUACCAUCAGUUCUUAAUAUUGUUGCCUCUGGGUCACAAAAUGUAUUUUUAAGAUUAGUUUAGGCGAUAAUAUAUAUAUGUAUAAUCUUCAAAUAGCAGUCGAUUAGUUAAAAAAGCGCUAAUUUUAGAAUUUGAUUAAACAAAUGCGGAGGGUUCAGGCGCGAGUCGGUCACAUGAUGUGCUCCUCAGUUCUGUCAGUAGGGGGAGUGGGAGAACGCGUGUGUGUCGUCGUAUCUGUUCUGCUCAUCUAGCGCGUAUUUCUUUAUUAAUAUCUGCUGGGUUAAUAUUAAUACGUAUAUGCUAACAUUAAUUUUGUGACCACAAAAUGACAGAGAGCUAUUACACUGUAAGAGAUAUUGUGUCGUCGUGUUUGUCUUCACUCACUUCAUCAUUAUCUGCAAACAACUUCUGCAACUUCACAACGAUUGUCUGGGUGUGUGCAAAAGAAAGCAUGUUCACUGUGUAAAACCCCGCGCAGGGCAUUUUCAAAUUAACGGUCAGGGCGAGUCUGAGCUUAUCGUGUUCUGUUGACAGAGACUUUGCUGAGUGUAUGUAAAUCUGGGCUACAGUCCACGACAACUUUUCUACGGUAGUUUUACGCCUGCAUGCUCGUCCUCUCGUCCAUCGCGUGGGGAUCAUCACUACAGCGGGAAUCGCAUUGAAGAGAUCCUGUGCUUGUUGCGUGGCGGUGUGUUUGUCUGCUCACUUGGAUUGAGACCAGCAGUGCUUUUUUAAACAGUGGAUUCUUUACGACAUCAAGAUGUGGUUUGGGAAGGACCUUCAUCUAAAUCUGAAGACAGGACAUACUGGCUCAAAAAGGUGUUUCUGAUAUGGAGAAAAACCCUGCACUGCUCAUUUUAUUUCUUCAUCUUGAGAAUACAGCAAGUUUAACUUUUGUCUGGAAAAUGAUUCAGCAAAGCUAACACCAACAACAAUUUUUCAUGGCACUUCAAACCCCCUUGAUGUGAGGAGCCAGCAUCAGAAUGGAUGGUGUCAAUAUCCUGAAUGAAGAAGUGGAGGUAACAGAGGUGGAUCUCGAGACUUGGCCAUGUUCUAGAUUAUAACUGGAUUAUCACAAGUGCUGUCGCCCCUGCUGUAUAUGAUGCCCCCACCACCUACACCAGCUGUAGAAAAUGUCGGUCCUGGAGUGCCGUUGUCCUGCAGAGUAUUGCUCCAGCUCUAAACAAACACACCUGAACAAUUAGAUCUAAAGAGUCACCUGAAAACUACAGGUAGGCAAGGUUUUAUCAGGGUUGGAAAUAAAAUCUGCAGGAUUUUGGCACUCCAGAACCGAUGUUGCCUACCCCUGACCUACACCUUCAUCCUGCCACCACCACUCAUACUACCUACAAAAAAAACUGUAUUGUAAUUAUGCUUUUCACUGUAUUGUAUGAUGUGGUUUUCUCAUUUAGGGUAACUACACUAUGGCAACCAUUUGAUACAUUGAUUGCUGACUGAUUUUGUUAAUUUUUAUUUAACCUUUUGUAUAAAAUCUAAUCAUUUUUUGGUUAUUUUUGUUAAUAUUGUUACAAAUAUACAGUUAAAACUGCACAAUAAAUUUUCUGCUUUUAAAGAUAUAGUU